UAGUAUGGGGAUCUGCCCGAUAGAGGGGAAUAACUACUGGAAACGGUGGCUAAUACCGCAUAAUGUCUACGGACCAAAGCAGGGGCUCUUCGGACCUUGCACUAUCGGAUGAACCCAUAUGGGAUUAGCUAGCAGGUGGGGUAAAGGCUCACCUAGGCGACGAUCUCUAGCUGGUCUGAGAGGAUGAUCAGCCACACUGGGACUGAGACACGGCCCAG
Molecule: ribosomal RNA, 218 nt
Filed under: uncultured bacterium
Lineage: Bacteria
Description: partial 16S ribosomal RNA
Rfam family: Bacterial small subunit ribosomal RNA
Source: RNAcentral